This 1628-nucleotide long non-coding RNA is filed under the name Macaca mulatta (Rhesus monkey). Its description in RNAcentral is "lncRNA (ENSMMUG00000057589.1)". Lineage: Eukaryota; Metazoa; Chordata; Mammalia; Primates; Cercopithecidae. The record is from RNAcentral.
CCUUCCUUCCUUCCUUCCUCCCUCCCUCCCUUCCUUCUUUCCCUUUUUCCUUUUCCCCCUUUCUUCUCUCCUUCUCCUUGUUUUCUUCCUUUUUUCCCUUUCUUGCCUCCUUCUCUGUUUCUUUCUCUCUCUCUGUUUCCCCCUUCUUUCCCCUCUCUCUUUUCCUCUUUUUCUUUUAGGAAAUUCAACAAUCUGAUAGACUUAUCUAUCAUCAGGUUAAGAAUGAUGGACUCAUUGAACUGUUGGCUUCAUACACAGAUUAUUUAUCAUGGAGAACAAAAUUAUGUGCUUUUGUACGAAAGGGAAGAAGAAACAAUAACAGGCCUAGGGAAACAAUAGGACCACAUAGAACUAAUGCCUACAUUGCUGUGAUCUGAGGAGUGACCAAAACCCCAAAGCUAAGAGGACUUCAAAGAUAACAACUUCAAAGCACCUGAGUUUUCAAACUGGAUAUAAUGUCUGGGGUGAUCUGGCAGAUUUUGAAAGGAUAACAUUCUGCCUGAGUUAUGAUAAGACUUCAUAAAGAUUUAUGUGUUUCUUGAAGUUUAUGAUUUGUAUAUUUCCUUCAUCUUUCCUUUCACUUGUUGUUAUAAAUUGCAGCUGUUAUUGUAUGCAUUUUUAAAGGAAUGUGUGUUAUAUAUUUUCCUGCUACAGGCUGUUUGGAUGCCUUCAAUCCAUGAAAUGUGUUCAGAUCUUGAAAAAUUAAUAACAGGAAGAGAUUCGUUAGAAAAUAGAAAAACAUUAAAUUAUAGCACGUGGUGUUAGUAUCAUUGAGCAUCAGGAAAUGAUAGUUCAAUGUUAAAAAUCGCUAUAAGACUGAAUUUUAUUCUUAGUAUAAUAUGUUUCUCUGACUGAAGUGGACCUGGGAAUUAAAAAAAAAAAAAUGAGGGAAUUGAACAAACAUCCAGAAGUAAAUCUCUUAAAAUCAGAGAGGGGAAAAUCCCAAGCAAGUGAACAUUGACAAAAAUAAAAUAAAAUUUAAAAAUUGCUAAAUUUCUUUGAGAAUUUGAUAUAACCUCUAUGUCAUGAGUAAUGUCAUCAAAUGUAUCUUAUAGGUUAACCUAAGGCAAAUUGCUUAACUAAAUUUCUUUAAAGAUUAAAUAGUUUUGACUCAUGUUAAAAUAUCUACUUUUGAUGUAAAUAAAUGAUUCAAUUUAUUCUUGUUACUUAUAAUGAAAGCCAGUACAUUUUGUUUUUGAAUCAGUAUAAAGCAUUAUGAAGCAAUCUUAAGCAUUUAGCACAAUUGUUAGUUUUCGAAAAGUUGUACUUGGAGUGAGAACAUGAAUGUAGAGAGCUGGAGAAGGAACUAGAAUUAUGUCUGCUACUUUUCUGACCUGGAUUAUCUUAUAUCCACAGUAUCACUAUGGGGUAAUGGGGAUAGAUAAAGUUGUUAUAAGAUUAUUUCCAUAAAAAAAUUAGAAUCCUUGAAAAAAAGCCAUUCCAAAAAGUGAAAUUCUUAGCAUUUGUAUGCAAUUGUCCAUUCUUACUUACAAAAAAUAAAUUUAAUAUAAAAUUUUCUGUCUGAAGUAUUCAUUCCUUUGCAAUUUUAAUUAUGUAUCUCUUAAAUCAACUAUAAAACAUGAAUGUGCAUGAAGUCCACUUUAAAUUAACACUCAAAAAUAUCUAAC